Molecule: long non-coding RNA, 1615 nt
Filed under: Sus scrofa (pig)
Lineage: Eukaryota; Metazoa; Chordata; Mammalia; Artiodactyla; Suidae
Description: lncRNA (ENSSSCG00005008590.1)
Source: RNAcentral
GCCUUUUCUGGGGCCGCUGCCGCAGCACAUGGAGGUUCCCAGGCUAGGGGUCCAAUCAGAGCUGUAGCCACUGGCCUACACCAGAGCCACAGCAACGCGGGAUCCGAGCCGGGUCUGCGACCUGCACCAUAGCUCAUGGCAAUGCCAGAUCCUUCGCCCACUGGGCAAGGCCAGGGAUUGAACCAGCAACCUCAUGGUUCCUAGUUGGAUUCAUUAACCACUGAGCCAUGACAGGAACUCCAGAGCUUGAUUCUUUAUGAGUCAAACAAGGAUCCAAUCAGCACCAGCCGCAAUGCCAUCCAGUGUCCAUUUCUUGGUGGUGAGAGACCAUAUCCAUGGACUGUGAAAGGGAGUGUUUCCUGAAAGAGUAGACUCCCUCUGGGCCAAACUGGAUGACCGCCCCCGCCACUACCCGAGCUUGGGGAGGGCUGUAAUGAGUGCAGCAAAUGUGUGCUUGGCCUAAGGUAAGGGAUCUUCAGGGUUUGUGCGAUGGCCACUUCAGAACAGGGCGCCGAGGGUGAGAUGAGGGCUCUGUGAUGCUCCCUCACGUGAAAUUCAGAUGUGUGUCUGAGUGGCCCCUUGCUGCCCCCAUCUUUCUUUAGGCUCUCAAGAGUGAUUCCUAGCACAGUGGCUGUCCACCCGGCCAUUUUUUUGCCUGCCAUAACAGAAUGGUGUUAGAUAUCAGAGGAGUUUGUUAAUUGUUGCUCUUACACUUUGCCCUCAGUGUCAAAUGAGGUCACCCAAUUUCCUCUCUGCACAUUUACAAGAAGCAGCAUAAAACUCAAGCAAAAUAGCCAGGAGACACAGAGAAAGAUGGCUGAUGAGAUAAUGAGACCUGUUUAUUACAGUAGAGGAGAAAAUGUCCCAUGAAGGUGAAAUAUCCAUCCAGCUUUCCUGAAGAGUCACUAGGAGUUUUUGUUGUGGCCCCAAUCACAGUGCGAACAGUCUGCUAACAAAAUUGUCUUUGGAAAAGGGACUCAGCUUCAUGUUCUUCCCAAUACUGAUUUCCAUUGAGUUAAAGUGGUUUUGGUGUUGGGUGGGAAAUUUUUCUCAGGCUCUAAAGCAUGUGGGUAGCUUCUAGGUCCUGAAUGCUUUCCCCUCUAGAGCAGGGAAAGUUGCUGCCAGUGUUUUGCUGCUUAAAUAUCACCUAUCUUGGAGUUCCCUGGUGGCUCAGCAGGUUAAGGGAUCCAGAAUUGUCACUGCUGUGGCAUGGGUUUGAUCCCUGGCCUGGGAACUUCUGCAUGCCAUAGGUGAGGAAAAAAAAAAUCAGUUUUCUUUCUCCUUGUUUAUAUAUUAUGAAGAGUAAAAAAUUGGGAAACUUUGUCAAGAGUUCAUCUUCAAAUCUCCCCCCAGGCUUGUCCCCAGUGGAGUUUGUUUGGACACAUUAAACCCAGUAUGAUUUCUGGCUCCAACCAAAGUGGUUUUGGAAAUAAUUCCAGACUACCUAUGACAAACAUCCUUCCACUCUUCAUAAAAGACCCACUUUCUCUGUUUGGCCUCGGCUGAGAUUCCUGGCUCUGGUGCUCCAUGCGUCUGCACUUCCCUUGUUCCAUGGAUGGGCGGGAGGUAACUUUUUUAAGAGUUCUUUUAAUGCCAGAGGCAACAAAGAUGGUAU